RNAcentral lists this ribosomal RNA (615 nucleotides) under Triticum aestivum (bread wheat). RNAcentral describes it as "partial small subunit ribosomal RNA". Lineage: Eukaryota; Viridiplantae; Streptophyta; Magnoliopsida; Poales; Poaceae. The record is from RNAcentral.
AUGUCACGGAUCCGCGGCACGACCCCUCCACCAAUCAGCGCCCACCCCUUCCAUCCUUUAAAGCUCUCCAUCCCCUCUCGGUCUCGCCACAACCCAUCCCCAAUUCCCCACUGGUUCUCCUACCUACCAGCGAAACCCCACCUCCCCGCACCUCCGACCUUCGUAGCGGCAGCAGAAUCCAUGGCGCCCAAGGCGGAGAAGAAGCCGGCGGCAAAGAAGCCCGCGGAGGAGGAGCCCGCGGCGGAGAAGAAGCCCAAGGCCGAGAAGCGGCUGCCGGCGGGGAAGUCCGCCGCUGGCAAGGACGGCGACAAGAAGGGUAAGAAGAAGGCGAAGAAGAGCGUGGAGACGUACAAGAUCUACAUCUUCAAGGUGCUGAAGCAGGUGCACCCGGACAUCGGCAUCUCCUCCAAGGCCAUGUCCAUCAUGAACUCCUUCAUCAACGACAUCUUCGAGAAGCUCGCCGGCGAGGCCGCCAAGCUCGCCCGCUACAACAAGAAGCCCACCAUCACCUCCCGGGAGAUCCAGACGUCCGUCCGCCUCGUCCUCCCUGGCGAGCUCGCCAAGCACGCCGUCUCCGAGGGCACCAAGGCCGUCACCAAGUUCACCUCCUCCUAG